Long non-coding RNA from Vespula vulgaris, 614 nucleotides. RefSeq lists it as uncharacterized. The record is from RefSeq and is a predicted model, not a curated record. The transcript is spliced from 2 exons. NCBI's taxonomy places the organism in Eukaryota, Metazoa, Arthropoda, Insecta, Hymenoptera, Vespidae.
ACGAUGUCGUGCGCGAUUAUUAAAAUUUCGAUUGAUAAGAUAUAAGAGAAUGCAAGAUAACAAUUUCUGGACAAGACAGUAAUUUUUAUAUUCAAAAGAAAUGUGUACGUCAAAUUAAAUUCUCGAUUCUACAAAUCAACCAUAUUCGCAAGUUAAAAAGAAGACCAAAAUGGGUUUAAAACGAUUUCGUGCUCAAUUGAGUAUAAGAAAAAAAUACUACAAUACAUCCGAUAUGGGAACUUAUCGUGCAAUAUCUCAUUCAAAUUCGAUUCAACCUACAGAAAAGCGUGAAUCAAAUAAUUCAAAUCAACCUAUUAAAAAAAAUGAACCGAAUAAAAUUGACCCUAACACGAGUUCUAAUAAAUCCUAAUAAUAAAAAUAUCAUAUAAGAGAAUCAUUUAGAAUAAUACCAAAAACAAAUGCAAAAAUUAAAGGAUAAGAAUCGUAACAAGAAUAUAUUAUGCUUAAUUACCUGGCUACUUUAGCAAGAGGAAAGUGUAUACAUAAUUUUUGAUAAAAUUCGCAAAACUCUUUAUACGAGCGAAAAAGAUACGUAGGAUCUGCUUGACCUUUUCUUUGUAUACGUAAAAUAUACAUAUAAUACUUUUCUGGAU